GACGAACGCUGGCGGCGUGCUUAACACAUGCAAGUCGAACGGAAAGGCCCUGCUUUUGUGGGGUGCUCGAGUGGCGAACGGGUGAGUAACACGUGAGUAACCUGCCCUUGACUUUGGGAUAACUUCAGGAAACUGGGGCUAAUACCGGAUAGGAGCUCCUGCUGCAUGGUGGGGGUUGGAAAGUUUCGGCGGUUGGGGAUGGACUCGCGGCUUAUCAGCUUGUUGGUGGGGUAGUGGCUUACCAAGGCUUUGACGGGUAGCCGGCCUGAGAGGGUGACCGGCCACAUUGGGACUGAGAUACGGCCCAGACUCCUACGGGAGGCAGCAGUGGGGAAUAUUGCACAAUGGGCGGAAGCCUGAUGCAGCAACGCCGCGUGCGGGAUGACGGCCUUCGGGUUGUAAACCGCCUUCGCCUGUGACGAAGCGUGAGUGACGGUAAUGGGUGAAGAAGCACCGGCUAACUACGUG
RNAcentral lists this ribosomal RNA (468 nucleotides) under uncultured bacterium. RNAcentral's name for it is "partial 16S ribosomal RNA". It matches the Rfam family "Bacterial small subunit ribosomal RNA", at positions 28 to 507 of the family's 1533-position model. The record is from RNAcentral.